Molecule: ribosomal RNA, 254 nt
Filed under: uncultured bacterium
Lineage: Bacteria
Description: partial 16S ribosomal RNA
Rfam family: Bacterial small subunit ribosomal RNA
Source: RNAcentral
UACGUAGGGUGCAAGCGUUGUCCGGAAUUAUUGGGCGUAAAGAGCUCGUAGGCGGUUUGUCGCGUCGGCUGUGAAAACUCGGGGGCUCAACCCCGAGCCUGCAGUCGAUACGGGCAAACUAGAGUGUGGUAGGGGAGACUGGAAUUCCUGGUGUAGCGGUGAAAUGCGCAGAUAUCAGGAGGAACACCGGCGGCGAAGGCGGGUCUCUGGGCCAUAACUGACGCUGAGGAGCGAAAGCGUGGGGAGCGAACAGG